Molecule: long non-coding RNA, 1606 nt
Organism: Trifolium pratense (red clover)
Lineage: Eukaryota; Viridiplantae; Streptophyta; Magnoliopsida; Fabales; Fabaceae
Exons: 3
Source: RefSeq, a predicted model, not a curated record
AGAUGGUUGAGACUUGAGAAGUCUGGUUUUGGUUACCUACGAUUACUUCAUGCUAUGAGUCUCACCAAUGCGCUGAUAGCAGCUUUGGUUGAGCGGUGGAGGAGAGAAACAAAUACUUUUCAUUUAACUGUUGGAGAAUUGACAAUAACACUGGCAGAUGUAGCAUUGUUAUUUGGAUUGGCUAUUGAUGGAGAACCUGUGAUAGGACCAAUAAGUGCGCCAAGCGUAGCUUGUGAAAAACUACUAGGGAGAGUACCGGAGGACUUGAACGGUGGAAUGGUGAAGCUUAAUUGGUUGAAAGAAUUCUUUUGAGUGUCCUGAAGAUGCAUCGCUAGAUGAAAUUGAGCGCUGCACUCGUGCUUACCUUCUAUACCUAGUAGGAAGUACGAUAUUUUCUACAACAACCCGGAACAAAGUCCCUGUUAUGUACCUUUCUUUGUUUGAGAACUUUGACAAGGCUGGGAAGUUUUCUUGGGGUGCAGGAGCAUUGGCUUUUUUGUAUCGAGCACUCGACAAUGCUUCCCUUAAAUCUCAAAGAACCGUUAGUGGCUGUUUAACUCUUAGUGCAGUGUUGGAGUUAUUCCUGCGUCUAUGUUGGACAGCCGAAAUGUAAUCAAGAUCCUGACAGUAAUUGCUUUCCCUUUGUGCUUAAAUGGAAAGGGAAAAGUAGUUGUCGGACGAAAUGUAAUGUAGUGUCAUAUAGAAAUGCUUUGGAUUCUCUUAAUCCUUCUGAUGUCCAGUGGCUUUGGCUUCCUUACAAGGAUAUGGACUAUGCAUAUAUACCGGACUAUAUAAAAACUAGUUUGGUUUUAAGGGCAUCCAGGACUAUGCUUUUGUGUUUUAACAAGGCAGAAGGCACCUUUCCGGUCAUUGUUUAAGACAAUUUUGAAUGCAUCAAACCAUCCCAAAUGAUGUGGAACGGUGGGAGAGGAGUGUCGUAUAGUGGAUCAUGGGGCAGACUUGAUGGGAAAAAAGGACACGGCUCUGAAAGAAUCGUGAGAGCGUUGGUUUCGUAUUGUUGAACGUGGCAACAUUCUAGAUGACAAUGAGUACAUGCAGUGGUACCAGAAGAUUACUCAAAAAUAUAUCAGGAGAGUUACAUCAUCUGUAGAAUCAGAGUAUCAGAGAACAGUAUGUCUUUACUUAUUUUAUCGUUUCUUUCUCUUGAAUAUGUUAUGAAAUACAUGACUGCUGCAUAAUAUUAAAGGUUACUGCUAUGAGGGAAAUUGCGAACCUCGCUGAUAUAUUCUCAACAGAAGGGUUGGAUUCUUAUAAUAGAGGGUUAAUUGAUGAAGUGAAAAAUAUUGCACAUAAGUGUUUAACUGAACAAUUUGAAGAAAUACCUAAGGAGAAAGUGAGUAAGAAGGGUAGUCGGAAACGUAAGCAAAAGGAUCAUCAGAGUAAUGAGUAUGAAUAGCAGCAGAUUAGAGCACUAACCGAAGCUAAUCCUGACUUUUUUUCGUCAAGUAGCCUAGUUACUAGAAAAUCCACCUUAAAGGUAAAUAAGUGAAGUGUCCCGGGUUCGAACCCGGGCUCCUGCACAUAUAGUGCGAUGUCCCUACCAAUUGAGCUAAGCUCACGGGGACAAGCUAAUCCCGAUUUUUCC